GACGAACGCUGGCGGCGUGCUUAAUACAUGCAAGUCGAACGGAAAGGCCCUGCUCUUGUGGGGUGCUCGAGUGGCGAACGGGUGAGUAACACGUGAGUAACCUGCCCUUGACUUUGGGAUAACUUCAGGAAACUGGGGCUAAUACCGGAUAGGAGCUCCUGCUGCAUGGUGGGGGUUGGAAAGAUUCGGCGGUUGGGGAUGGACUCGCGGCUUAUCAGCUUGUUGGUGGGGUAGUGGCUUACCAAGGCUUUGACGGGUAGCCGGCCUGAGAGGGUGACCGGCCUCCUGGGGACUGCGAUACGCACCAGUCUCGUACGGGACGCAGCGGUGGAGAGUCUUGCGCAAUGGGCGGAAGCCUGAGACGGCAACGCCGCGAUCGGGAUAACCGCCUUCGAGUUGUAAACCGCUUUCGCCUGUGACGAAGCGUGAGUGACGGUAACGGGUAAGAAAGCACCGGCUAACUACGUG
RNAcentral lists this ribosomal RNA (468 nucleotides) under uncultured bacterium. RNAcentral's name for it is "partial 16S ribosomal RNA". It matches the Rfam family "Bacterial small subunit ribosomal RNA", at positions 28 to 507 of the family's 1533-position model. The record is from RNAcentral.